This 497-nucleotide ribosomal RNA is filed under the name uncultured bacterium. RNAcentral's name for it is "partial 16S ribosomal RNA". It matches the Rfam family "Bacterial small subunit ribosomal RNA", at positions 28 to 507 of the family's 1533-position model. The record is from RNAcentral.
GAUGAACGCUGGCGGCGUGCCUAAUACAUGCAAGUCGAGCGAACAGUCGAGGAGCUUGCUUCUCUGAUGUUAGCGGCGGACGGGUGAGUAACACGUGGAUAACCUACCUAUAAGACUGGGAUAACUUCGGGAAACCGUAGCUAAUACCGGAUAAUAUCUUGCACCGCAUGGUUCAAAAGUGACAGCCGGUUUUGUUGUCACUUAUAGAUGGCUCCGCGCCGCCUUAGCUAGUUGGUAAGGUAACGGCUUACCAAGGCAACGCUGCGUAGCCGACCUGAGAGGGUGAUCGGCCACACUGGAACUGAGACACGGUCCAGGCUCCUACGGGAGGCAGCGGUAGGGAAUCUUCCGAAAUGGGCGAAAGCCUGACGGAGCAACGCCGCGUGAGUGAUGAAGGUCUUCGGAUCGUAAAACUCUGUUAUUAGGGAAGAACAAAUGUGUAAGUAGCUAUGCACGUCUUGACGGUACCUAAUCAGAAAGCCACGGCUAACUACGUG